UGAAACAAGUGAUCUUAAAAAUAAUAGUAACAGAAGCCUUGUACAAUAUUGCAACAAUAUCUGAGUUUUCAAUGUGAUACUGUUACGUUAACUCUAUGCAUAUUUUGCCCGUGUAAAAUAAAGAGAAUGGUGAUUGCAGCGUAAGAUGUUAAAGUGAUCAAUAAUGAUGUACAACUUGUCCCGGAAAACCAAUAUUUAAUGAAAAUUAAUAAAAUCUUAACAAACCAAAGUAAACUGUUCAUAAUUCCAAAAUAUUUAAUUGAACAUAAAUUGAUUAUUAUCUUUAAAUAAGCCUUCUUAAUAAAUGAGUGUUUUAAAAUU
Ostrinia nubilalis (European corn borer) is the source of this 321-nucleotide long non-coding RNA. RefSeq lists it as uncharacterized. The record is from RefSeq and is a predicted model, not a curated record. Lineage: Eukaryota; Metazoa; Arthropoda; Insecta; Lepidoptera; Crambidae. The transcript has 2 exons.